Molecule: ribosomal RNA, 474 nt
Filed under: Pseudomonas sp. NN018606
Lineage: Bacteria; Pseudomonadati; Pseudomonadota; Gammaproteobacteria; Pseudomonadales; Pseudomonadaceae
Description: bacterial SSU rRNA
Rfam family: Bacterial small subunit ribosomal RNA
Source: RNAcentral
AUUGAACGCUGGCGGCAGGCCUAACACAUGCAAGUCGAGCGGUAGAGAGAAGCUUGCUUCUCUUGAGAGCGGCGGACGGGUGAGUAAUGCCUAGGAAUCUGCCUGGUAGUGGGGGAUAACGCUCGGAAACGGACGCUAAUACCGCAUNCGUCCUACGGGAGAAAGCAGGGGACCUUCGGGCCUUGCGCUAUCAGAUGAGCCUAGGUCGGAUUAGCUAGUUGGUGAGGUAAUGGCUCACCAAGGCGACGAUCCGUAACUGGUCUGAGAGGAUGAUCAGUCACACUGGAACUGAGACACGGUCCAGACUCCUACGGGAGGCAGCAGUGGGGAAUAUUGGACAAUGGGCGAAAGCCUGAUCCAGCCAUGCCGCGUGUGUGAAGAAGGUCUUCGGAUUGUAAAGCACUUUAAGUUGGGAGGAAGGGCAGUAACCUAAUACGUUGCUGUCNUGACGUUACCGACAGAAUAAGCACCGGC